AUAAAGUUUUAUUCUAGUUUUUUUGUUAAAUAAAUUUAUUUAAUUAUAUGAAAAUUUUAGUAUGUUUUUAUAGCUUUUUAAAUAGGAGUUAUUGAAUUAUAAAGCCUCAGUAAUUAAUUUUAAAUAUAAAAGAAAUUUUGAUUUAGAAAUAAAUUUUAGUAUUAUCUAAGUUUGUGCCAGCAGUUGCGGUUAGACAAACAAUGCAAUUUAAUAUCUUUAGUAUUAAUUAAUUUAAAUUAUAUGCAAACUUUAAUUGUAAGUUUAUAGGGUGAAAUCCUAAACUUAUUAAAAAGUUAUAAAUUAUAAAUGAAGUUGAGACAUCUACGGUUUAGACUAGGAUUAGAUACCCUAUUAUUGUAGACGUGAAGUUAUAAUACUAAAUUAGUAAAAGUUAUGCCCUUAAAAAUUAAAGAAUCUGGCGGUAUUUUAGUCUACUCAGAGGAACCUGUCCUAUAAUUGAUGAUCCACGAUUAAUAGUACCAAUAUUUUUAAUUUGUAUAUCGUCGUAGUUUAAAUAUUUUAGGAGAAUCACAAUAUUUAAAAUUUUUUAUAAAGAAAGGAAAUCAGAUCAAGAUGCAGUUUAUAUAUUGGUAGAGAUGGGUUACAAUAAAUUUAUUUGUGGAGAGGUAGUUGAAAACUACUUUAAAAUUGGAUUUGAAGGUAAUUUUNAKAGNUAGUUGAAAACUACUUUAAAAUUGGAUUUGAAGGUAAUUUUAUAAAUAUAUGUAAAGUGAUUACGGCUCUAAAAUAUGUACAUAUCGCCCGUCGCUUUCAUUCCAAAGUGAAAUAAGUCGUAACAGAGUAGCCUUACUGGAAAGUGAGGCUAGACAGGC
This 833-nucleotide non-coding RNA is filed under the name Cucujoidea sp. 45 KM-2017. Lineage: Eukaryota; Metazoa; Arthropoda; Insecta; Coleoptera. The record is from RNAcentral.